Molecule: ribosomal RNA, 933 nt
Filed under: uncultured bacterium
Lineage: Bacteria
Description: bacterial SSU rRNA
Rfam family: Bacterial small subunit ribosomal RNA
Source: RNAcentral
CAUGCAGUCGAACGAGAGAAGAGAAGCUUGCUUUUCUGAUCUAGUGGCGGACGGGUGAGUAACACGUGAGCAAUCUGCCUUUCAGAGGGGGAUACCGAUUGGAAACGAUCGUUAAUACCGCAUAAUAUAAUUGAACCGCAUGAUUUGAUUAUCAAAGAUUUAUCGCUGAAAGAUGAGCUCGCGUCUGAUUAGCUAGUUGGUAAGGUAACGGCUUACCAAGGCGACGAUCAGUAGCCGGACUGAGAGGUUGAUCGGCCACAUUGGGACUGAGACACGGCCCAGACUCCUACGGGAGGCAGCAGUGGGGAAUAUUGCACAAUGGAGGAAACUCUGAUGCAGCGAUGCCGCGUGAGGGAAGAAGGUUUUAGGAUUGUAAACCUCUGUCUUCAGGGACGAAAAAAGACGGUACCUGAGGAGGAAGCUCCGGCUAACUACGUGCCAGCAGCCGCGGUAAUACGUAGGGAGCGAGCGUUGUCCGGAAUUACUGGGUGUAAAGGGAGCGUAGGCGGGAUCGCAAGUCAGAUGUGAAAACUAUGGGCUUAACCCAUAAACUGCAUUUGAAACUGUGGUUCUUGAGUGAAGUAGAGGUAAGCGGAAUUCCUAGUGUAGCGGUGAAAUGCGUAGAUAUUAGGAGGAACAUCAGUGGCGAAGGCGGCUUACUGGGCUUUAACUGACGCUGAGGCUCGAAAGCGUGGGGAGCAAACAGGAUUAGAUACCCUGGUAGUCCACGCCGUAAACGAUGAUUACUAGGUGUGGGGGGACUGACCCCUUCCGUGCCGCAGCAAACGCAAUAAGUAAUCCACCUGGGGAGUACGACCGCAAGGUUGAAACUCAAAGGAAUUGACGGGGGCCCGCACAAGCAGUGGAGUAUGUGGAUUAAUUCGAAGCAACGCGAAGAACCUUACCAGGUCUUGACAUCGUAUGCAUAGCUCA